This 253-nucleotide ribosomal RNA is filed under the name uncultured bacterium. RNAcentral's name for it is "partial 16S ribosomal RNA". It matches the Rfam family "Bacterial small subunit ribosomal RNA", at positions 524 to 776 of the family's 1533-position model. The record is from RNAcentral.
UACAGAGGGUGCGAGCGUUAAUCGGAAUUACUGGGCGUAAAGCGUGCGUAGACGGUUAUUUAAGUCGGGUGUGAAAGCCCCGGGCUCAACCCGGGAAUUGCAUUCGAGACUGAAUAGCUAGGGUACGGUAGAGGGAAGUGGAAUUUCCGGUGUAGCGGUGAAAUGCGUAGAUAUCGGAAGGAACAUCAGUGGCGAAAGCGACUUCCUGGACCAGUACCGACGUUCAGGCACGAAAGCGUGGGGAGCAAACAGG